UGCAAGGGUUUACACUUCUACUCUCUCUCACACCUACAUCUUCUUUACAAAACUCUUCUUCGAAUUUCUUCAUCCUUCUUUCAUUCCCUAAGUUUUUCAUCGGAUUCACAAGAUUGAAAGACUCCAUUCUUCUUUCUACUUUCACUUUUGCAAAAAAAAAAACCAUUUGUUAUACAAUGACAGGGCCAUCAAGAAAGAAAAAUCCUAUGAGGGUCGUGCAAGUGAAGGGUCAAAUUGCUAAGAAUGCUCCAUCCUCUUCCAAAAUGUAAUCCCAAUCCACAAAGCAGCCAAAAAUGUCCCCUUAAUUGCCUUCCAGUAAGAGAAAACGUAUGGAUGAACCGACUGAGUUUGAAUCUACUGCUAGAAUUUAACUCAAAUCCAAUGCUCAUUCUGAGGGUAAUUCAAGGGAAGCAAACCAUGAGAGGUCACAAGAAACGCAAACCCAAGGAGAAGUACUUCCAUAUGACCCGACUGUUAAAGAAAUUUUAAAUGCCCAUUUGGAAUCAAGGAAGUUGUGUUUCGAAAGAGGAGUGAAUCUGAUAUGUGUCAAGGAGCGUUUUCUAGCUUUUUAUAAUGAGUUGGUCAGUCGAGGUUGGUUAAAAUUGGCAACAAAGCUAGGCAAAGUGAAUGAAACCUUGGUUCGUGAAUUUUAUGAAAACAUGUCCAUAUUGCCAGGACACUCAACUACUAUAGUUGUGAGUAAUGUGGUGGUUUCAAUAGAUCCAAAGGCAUUCAAUGAACUUCUUGAUUUGCCAAAUGUGGACCAAGCUACCUAUGUCAAAAAGUUGAAAAUUUCUAAAAGUAAAAUUCGAGAGUGGGUUGUAUAUGUGUUAGGGAAAGAAAAAGAGGUACCGAACUGGAAGUUAAACAAUUCUACAAUCAGAAAGAGGACUUUUAGCCAACUUGCAAAGAACUGGGUUAGUUUUGUUCUUGGACGACUUCAACCAUGUAAGAAUGAUGAUGAAAUUCCAUUGCAUCGGGCACUUGUUACUGCUGCCAUCAUCAAGAAAUGGCCCAUUAAUGUGGGGCAAGUCAUGACAACAGAAAUCAUAUCAGCUUGCAAGAAAACCAAAACAAAUCAGUCAUUGCACUUCCCAUGGGAUCUUACAGAGAGUUGAUGGAGAAGGCUAAUGUACCAUGGCGAUCCCAAGAUGUCGAGGUAGAGGGACCCAAGAAUAUUGAUUUGUUCUCAUUAAAAGAUGCAUUGACUACUGCCAAGAAGAGCAAAACAACGUCCACAACAAGGACUAGCCAGUCUGACGAGCUAGUUCCUAAGGUACCUCUUAUCAGUGAAUCACCAUCCAAUUCUGAACCUUCUAUCAUUCAAGCAACCUCUGUCGGUACAUUGCAAGUCAUAAAUGCAAAAUUGGAUAAGAUCUUAAAGAAUCAAGAAGAGCAUGCACAAACUGAGAAGGUUAGGAAUGAUACACUGGAGAAGCUUGUAAAAACAAUCCAAGGCAUAAAAUACACUCACAGAGAUAGAGAAGUCUUGCAAAGUUGAGUUUCCAAAGUUGAAUGAAGUUGUUACUAAUUUUUCUAAGGAGAUGACUCAAUUUCGAAAGGAGUGGAGUCAUAGAGUUCAAGAGGCAGAAGAGGACCUUGAUAAGGCAACUGAUGGCACAAGACCAAGUGAUAAGGAUCUAGAUGAUGAUACAAUUGAUGAUGCAUUAUUGUUCUAUAGGAGCACCCAAGCUCCUGAGAUUGAGGUGUCAUGUUCUGAGUAGCCUGGUUUAGUGGGUCCAAACCAACAGAUUGUAAGUGUUCCAGAUUCACACACCAUUAAAGUUGUCGAUGUUGAUGCUUCACUGUCAAAGAAGAGGCAUAUGCAAACAGAAUCAGCCACCUGAGUUGCAGGGAUUUGGAGCUAAAGAAGUCAAGCAAUCAAGUAUUUGAUCAAGAAUGAUGAAAACAAGAUGGAGGUUGGAGCAAAAGAGUGAGAAAAGUAAAGAUUGAGAAGUCACAAAAAUCGUGCCCAAGUUUAGUUGUCAUGGAGCCGUUUCUGAGGGUAGAAGAGCUUGAAUUUGGCUAAGUCUGAAAAAGGAACAAGUUUGUCUCACUCCAUGAAAAUUUUGGCUCCACGAAAUGAAAAUGGGGAGGCAAAAAUUGGAAUGUCUCCACGAUUUUGCUCCACGAAAUUGGCAGUGAAAUGGCAUCUUUGUCCAAAUUUUGAGAGAGAUAAAUAGGAAUUAGGUCAUUUUUCUUGGGCAGCUUUUGAUUUUGGAAGUCUAGGAGGAGUAUCUCUAGUUAACUUUGCAAGGAUUAAGAGAUUUUCACCAUAAAGUUUGCAUAUUCUUAUUUGUUUAAUCUUAAACUAUGUUUAUUCUUACCUUUCAUCUUGUAUUUUCUUUUUCUAGUAUGUGUAGCUAAACCUAUUAGUUGAGGUUGUAGACUCUUAUGGCUUUUAUGUGAUUGAAUACUAGUUUAUCUUGCU
This is a long non-coding RNA of Solanum tuberosum (potato), 2431 nucleotides long. RefSeq lists it as uncharacterized. The transcript has 3 exons. The record is from RefSeq and is a predicted model, not a curated record. Lineage: Eukaryota; Viridiplantae; Streptophyta; Magnoliopsida; Solanales; Solanaceae.